RNAcentral lists this ribosomal RNA (301 nucleotides) under uncultured bacterium. Its description in RNAcentral is "partial 16S ribosomal RNA". It matches the Rfam family "Bacterial small subunit ribosomal RNA", at positions 509 to 808 of the family's 1533-position model. The record is from RNAcentral.
CAGUCGCCACGGGAAUACAGAGGGUGCGAGCGUUAAUCGGAUUUACUGGGCGUAAAGCGUGCGUAGGCGGCUUCUUAAGUCGGAUGUGAAAUCCCUGAGCUUAACUUAGGAAUUGCAUUCGAUACUGGGAAGCUAGAGUAUGGGAGAGGAUGGUAGAAUUCCAGGUGUAGCGGUGAAAUGCGUAGAGAUCUGGAUGAAUACCGAUGGCGAAGGCAGCCAUCUGGCCUAAUACUGACGCUGAGGUACGAAAGCAUGGGGAGCAAACAGGAUUAGAUACCCCGUAGUCCCUGUCUCUUAUACC